Long non-coding RNA from Chiroxiphia lanceolata (lance-tailed manakin), 713 nucleotides. RefSeq lists it as uncharacterized. The transcript has 4 exons. NCBI's taxonomy places the organism in Eukaryota, Metazoa, Chordata, Aves, Passeriformes, Pipridae. The record is from RefSeq and is a predicted model, not a curated record.
CGUCCCUCCCUGUUGAGGCGCACGCUCCGCGCUGUGCACAGGCUGUUCCGCUGGCCCCGCAGGCCGGCACAGCCCCACCAUUAGGCCCCGCUCCAGCGCCAGGCCCGGCCCAGACAGCGCAGGGCGGGCAGCACUUUGCCGGGACCAACAUCUCCCGCAGACCAGCACGGCACGGAACAGCACAGGCGCCACAACCAGGCCAAGGAGUGACCACAGAACGGAGGGGGACCGAGACCCCCAGAGACCCCCAGACCACAGACUCCUUUCCAGAAAGGUCUGAAAGAACAGACUGUGCGUGACAACUCAUUGGCACAGAAGACAGAAAGCCACCUUCUGUGGGGAACCCUGUCCCUGCAAAGGUACCCCCAGCAAGCCCAGCAGCCUGGACAUCCCUCCAGCUGCAUCCACGCUGGACACCGGACUGACCCCUUGCACAGGAUGGAGGCGUCACCCAUUCUCAGAGGAAGCUUUGCCCCAGGUUCCUGCAGACCAAGGGCACCACUCAGUCACCCCUGGCCCUUCAGUGCAGUUGCAGAACUCACGGGGAAGGCCAGAGCUGCCACCAAGGAGGGAAGCAGAGCCCCGUGGCUGUGGGAAGGACUGACUCUUUGCAGGCUGACAACAUGGAAGGACCCUCCCCAGCUGGGCAAGCUUUGUGCAGCCGUGGUUUCUGUUGCACUCGGGGCAGCUCUUUCCCCUCCUGUCCAUAGGAA